Long non-coding RNA from Manis javanica (Malayan pangolin), 821 nucleotides. RefSeq lists it as uncharacterized. NCBI's taxonomy places the organism in Eukaryota, Metazoa, Chordata, Mammalia, Pholidota, Manidae. The record is from RefSeq and is a predicted model, not a curated record.
GCCCCACAUCACAGAGGCAAGAGGCUGCCUUAGCCGGGGACCUGCUUCUAGCUCUGUCCUUCACUAGAAUGAGUCUGGGAAGGAGCAGACCUCUAAGUCUCCCAAGUAUUCUUCAUUUGUUAAACAAAGAAACCCUGGACUGGGCGAUUUCUGAAGCCUCUCCAGUUAUUUUUUGGUGAGAAAAUAGAAGCAGUCAGAAGAGACUUCCACAUGCUCUUACAUCACAUCCUGAACGUCUCCACCAAACUCCAGGCUCAACUCUCCACUCAGUGUUUACAUUUGGAUCAUCAAGAAGGUCCUCAAACUGAGGACUGCUAUUCUAUUCCCCUGAGUCUGCUCCUCACUUUUCCCUCCACCUCCUUUCUAAUCCAUUAUGAUUCCUCUUAACUAGGGCAAGAAAAGAAGCACCUCUAAAUAUGCUGAGAAGAGUCAAGCAGGUUACGAGGGCCUAGAGUCUAGAGCAGGAUCAUGCCAGUUAUCAGCAAUGCCGAAGAUGGGAAUUUUCACCCCAGAAGAAGGUACUUCCAGUAGAGAGGACUUCCCUACAUCUGUGUCCUGGACAUAUUAUCUGCAUCAUUUCUAUUCCCGUAAAAAGGAAAUUUUCAUUGCCUGGAAAGGCCUUCGUGUGACCGGCAAGAAGCUUUCUCCCAAUCUGGCAAGCAGACUUCUGAAAAGCCCCUGAUGUGAGAUUUGCUGUGAUAUGGAAAGCCCACUCCUAGUAAUCCAGCUGCACCUCAUUGUAAGAGAAAGGAGAUGUUACAGCAUUUACAAAAGACUUUGCUUUGCAGGUACUCAUAUACUCGUAACAGGUUUGCUCUAAA